AUUGAACGCUGGCGGCAUGCUUUACACAUGCAAGUCGAACGGCAGCGCGGGCUUCGGCCUGGCGGCGAGUGGCGAACGGGUGAGUAAUACAUCGGAACGUGCCCAGCAGUGGGGGAUAGCUCGGCGAAAGCCGGAUUAAUACCGCAUACGACCUGAGGGUGAAAGCGGGGGAUCGUCGGACCUCGCGCUAUUGGAGCGGCCGAUGGCGGAUUAGCUAGUUGGUGGGGUAAAGGCCUACCAAGGCGACGAUCUGUAGCUGGUCUGAGAGGACGACCAGCCACACUGGAACUGAGACACGGCCCAGACUCCUACGGGAGGCAGCAGUGGGGAAUUUUGGACAAUGGGCGAAAGCCUGAUCCAGCAAUGCCGCGUGUGUGAUGAAGGCCUUCGGGUUGUAAAGCACUUUUGGCGGGAACGAAAAGGAUUGUGCCAAUACCACGGUUCGAUGACGGUACCCGCAGAAUAAGCACCGGCUAACUACGUG
This 484-nucleotide ribosomal RNA is filed under the name uncultured bacterium. RNAcentral's name for it is "partial 16S ribosomal RNA". It matches the Rfam family "Bacterial small subunit ribosomal RNA", at positions 29 to 507 of the family's 1533-position model. The record is from RNAcentral.